GAAACCGUUCAGGGGUAAACCUGAGAAACCCAAAAGAUCGAAUGGGGAGAUUCAUCGUCAACAGCGCUGGCUCCCGUUGGUGCGCGAUGCCCCGAAUGGGCCCUUGUGGUUCCACGGCGAGGGCACGCCACCUUCGGCUUGAAUGUUCCGGUGCCGUAGUCGUGCACUUCUCCCCUAGUAGAACGUCGCGACCCGUUGUGUGUCGGUCUACGGCCCGAGAGGGCGCCUGUCGCGUCGCCUUGUGCGCACUCGUCAGACCCUCGGUCGCCCGGCCGGCUACACGACGGUACUCGCACGGUAUCGGGCCGCAACCAAUCCAUUCUCGAAUGGCGUUUGCGUCAGGUCCGCCGCAAGCUCGGUUAGUUCUUACCCGGUGGUACGGACCUCGUGCCGUCCCCGGGCCUAACCAGCUGUUAGCAGGCGGUGUCCUCGGACUGGCCAAGCUUCGAAUUACCGGUCGGCGACGCUAUUGCUUUGGGUACUCUCAGGACCCGUCUUGAAACACGGACCAAGGAGUCUAACAUGUGCGCGAGUCAUUGGGAUGCACAAACCUAAAGGCGAAAUGAAAGUGAAGGUCGUCCAUAGCGUCGACCGAGGGAGGAUGGGCCGCGUAAUCAGGCGGCCUCGCACUCCCGGGGCGUCUCGUUCUCAUCGCGAGAAGAGGCGCACCCAGAGCGUACACGUUGGGACCCGAAAGAUGGUGAACUAUGCCUGGUCAGGACGAAGUCAGGGGAAACCCUGAUGGAGGUCCGUAGCGAUUCUGACGUGCAAAUCGAUCGUCGGAACUGGGUAUAGGGGCGAAAGACUAAUCGAACCAUCUAGUAGCUGGUUCCCUCCGAAGUUUCCCUCAGGAUAGCUGGCACUCGCUAGAACGCGGUGCGAGUCUCAUCUGGUAAAGCGAAUGAUUAGAGGCCUUGGGGCCGAAACGACCUCAACCUAUUCUCAAACUUUAAAUGGGUGAGAUCUCUGGCUUGCUUGAACAGUGAAGCCAUGAGAUUUUGGAUCAGAGUGGCAAGUGGGCCAAUUUUGGUAAGCAGAACUGGCGCUGUGGGAUGAACCAAACGCAGAGUUAAGGCGCCUAAGUCGACGCUUAUGGGAUACCAUGAAAGGCGUUGGUUGCUUAAGACAGCAGGACGGUGGCCAUGGAAGUCGGAA
Molecule: ribosomal RNA, 1155 nt
Filed under: Eucera cinctula
Lineage: Eukaryota; Metazoa; Arthropoda; Insecta; Hymenoptera; Apidae
Description: eukaryotic LSU rRNA
Rfam family: Eukaryotic large subunit ribosomal RNA
Source: RNAcentral